RNAcentral lists this ribosomal RNA (465 nucleotides) under uncultured bacterium. Its description in RNAcentral is "partial 16S ribosomal RNA". It matches the Rfam family "Bacterial small subunit ribosomal RNA", at positions 28 to 507 of the family's 1533-position model. The record is from RNAcentral.
GACGAACGCUGGCGGCGUGCUUAACACAUGCAAGUCGAACGGAAAGGCCCCUUUGGGGGUCCUCGAGUGGCGAACGGGUGAGUAACACGUGAGUAACCUGCCCUUGACUUCGGGAUAACUUCAGGAAACUGGGGCUAAUACCGGAUAGGAAUCCUUGCUGCAUGGUGGGGGUUGGAAAGCUUCGGCGGUUUUGGAUGGACUCGCGGCUUAUCAGCUUGUUGGUGGGGUAGUGGCUUACCAAGGCUUUGACGGGUAGCCGGCCUGAGAGGGCGACCGGCCACAUUGGGACUGAGAUACGGCCCAGACUCCUACGGGAGGCAGCAGUGGGGAAUAUUGCACAAUGGGCGGAAGCCUGAUGCAGCAACGCCGCGUGCGGGAUGACGGCCUUCGGGUUGUAAACCGCUUUCAGCAGGGGCGAAGCUUGUGGUGACGGUACCUGCAGAAGAAGCACCGGCUAACUACGUG